UACGAAGGGUGCAAGCGUUACUCGGAAUUACUGGGCGUAAAGCGUGCGUAGGUGGUUUGUUAAGUCUGAUGUGAAAGCCCUGGGCUCAACCUGGGAAUGGCAUUGGAUACUGGCGAGCUAGAGUGCGGUAGAGGGUAGUGGAAUUCCACAUGUAGCGGUGAAAUGCGUAGAUAUGUGGAGGAACAUCAGUGGCGAAGGCGGCUUCCUGGCUUAAAACUGACACUGUGGCGCGAAAGCGUGGGUAGCAAACAGG
This 253-nucleotide ribosomal RNA is filed under the name uncultured bacterium. RNAcentral describes it as "partial 16S ribosomal RNA". It matches the Rfam family "Bacterial small subunit ribosomal RNA", at positions 524 to 776 of the family's 1533-position model. The record is from RNAcentral.